UGGCCUCUGGGCUUGUUUUAGUCAUAGAACGAACCUCUCUCGAUUCCUCAUUCCAAUCACUGAGAAGCACCAUUUUAACAUUCACAAAGUCGAUGGAGACAGAGGAGAGGACUGCUAAAAGGAAAAAAGGCAUUUUGUUAUGGGAGAAAAGUGGAAGGCUUGUCAGCCUGAUUGUGCUACACCUGAACUGCCAUCAACAGGCUUCCUUCAACACUAAAAGCAAGCCAGUUAUUUCUGGCCUGCUUUUAGUUUCAUUGCUAGUCCUGGUUGGAACAGCUGGUUCUGCUUGUUCACAAAUCACCUGAAUGCGCUUUUGAUGACCUCCACA
Xiphophorus couchianus (Monterrey platyfish) is the source of this 328-nucleotide long non-coding RNA. RefSeq lists it as uncharacterized. The record is from RefSeq and is a predicted model, not a curated record. Lineage: Eukaryota; Metazoa; Chordata; Actinopteri; Cyprinodontiformes; Poeciliidae. The transcript has 3 exons.